Molecule: long non-coding RNA, 5355 nt
Organism: Ficedula albicollis (Collared flycatcher)
Lineage: Eukaryota; Metazoa; Chordata; Aves; Passeriformes; Muscicapidae
Source: Ensembl
CCCCCCCCCCCCCCCCCCCGCAUCCUUUAUCCUGCAGGAGAGGAGCUGCAUCCUUUAUCCUGCAUGAGUGAGAGGAGCUGCAUCCUUUAUCCUGCAGGUGUGCUAGGAGCUGCAUCCUUUAUCCUGCAGGAGUGGGAGGAGCUGCAUCCUUUAUCCUGCAGGUGUGAGAGGAGCUGCAUCCUUUAUCCUGCAGGAGAGGAGCUGCCUCCUUUAUCCUGCAGGAGUGAUAGGAGCUGCAUGCUUUAUCCUGCAGGUGUGAGAGGAGCUGCUCCCUGAGAGCAUUCCCAGCCCAGCCUCAGCCUCAUCUGCUGCUUCCAGGGUGCUGAAGGACAGAAGUGCUUUUACACAGCACUGAUCAAGGCUGCCAGAACAUUUUAAUCCCUCUCCCCUCCCUUUUCAAGGUAGAAUGUCAUUUGCUAAAGCGACCAGAACCUGAGAUGGUUCCAAGCUGUGCACACUGGUACAACUUCCUGAGCAAACUCAGGAAAAAAAAAUUACUUUUCCUGGAUAAAUUGAAUUGUUCUUGCUACUGAAUUCUCCUGGAAGGCUUCCCUUUCCACCCUCCCACCCCUGGCUGUCCCAGUGCCAUGACCUGGUUACACACUGGGCACUGGAUGUGUCCAAAUGGCACUCAUGAGGCUUUGGGGACACUGUGCUCAUCUCCCUGUUCCCCCCACAGUCUCUGAUUUCUCGUGGCUGCAGCCCCUGGGAGCAGGGGCUGGGCACAAAUAAUGAGAUACUCCAGAACCUGUGGUCUGGGAGGAGGGAAAUGCCUGUGUGUGACAGCAUCUGCAGGAACAGUAACUGCAGGUGGAUGGGGGUGGCACACUGAGAAAUGGGGGCACUAGUGAUGGGAAUGAAACUGGGAACACUGGGGAAAGCCCCAUUCCCAGCAGGCUGAAGGACAGAGCCAUGCCCAGCCCCGGCACGAUUUCAAGGACACCAGCUCCACACCCUUUCCAAGAACGAUUAGUUACUGCAAACGAAGAGGAAUCCAAGAAAGAUGGAAAGGCCCAGCUAUUUUGGAGGGCUUGCCUCAUUGCUGGGAUGAUCCCGAGCAGCCUGGGACACAGGCCUUGGCACAGCAGCGCGUGGGUGGCGGUGGGGGAAGUCCAGGAGCAGGAAUCCAGCUGCCCUGGCAGCAGAGUCCCUUUCCCAGCCCCGAGGUCUCCACUGAACCCUGCUGCACCUGCAGGGCCGGGCUGGGGCUCGCCCAGGGGGAUGUGCGGGCACACAGGGCUUCUCUGCAGCCUGGUGAGAUGGCAGGCAAGCCCAGAGGAAAUCACAGCUUUCCAGUUUCCAGGGAACUGGGGGGGAAAGCUGUGGUUAACAGCCGGAAUGUCGCUCCCUGAAGUCCCAGCUGCAAAGUUUCCUGCAUUUCUCAUUCCUCAGGGGAGCCCUUGCAGAAGAUGUUGUGGGAACAGAGGAUGCAGGGGAGACCUCCCAGCUGUGCAUGCAGUGGAACAACGAGCCACCACAGGCAGAUCCCAGUGGGCUCAGAACCCGCUGCUGACCCAGGUCCUGGAAGGUGAUGGCAGCUUCCACACACACCCCACAUCCCCGCACAAACCUGCAGCUUUCACUUAGAGGCAGCUCUUGAGCCACAGGACACCACUCGUGGUCUGGGUACGGUUAAAUAAUGGAAAGGAGGGAGAAAUCAGGCAGAAAAUGUGCAUAUUAAUAAUGAAUAUGGCAGGAGAAAUAAUUGAACGGGAGCAAAGGCAUAAUAAUGAAUAUGGCAGGAGAAAUAACUGAACGGGAGCAAAGGCAGGGGUGAAACAAAGAGAGAGGGAAAGACAGGGGGCACGGGAGCCCUCCCAGGCACAUGGGCUUGGCUCUCUGGAAACAGCUCCAGUGCCACCAGGAGGGUGGGAGCAGCGGGGGUGCCAGGGGAGCUGUAGGUUCCCACUUUCUGAGGGGGAAAAACAAGAAUGAUUUUUAAAAAAUGACAUGCUUCUGCUGUGCCCUGUGUGCCUGCUAUUGCUCCUCCUUCCUUCCCAGUCACACAAAACCAUCUCAGCUGGUCAGCUCAGUGAGGAUUUGGGGCUGCUGCUCCUGGGGCUGCCGUCCAGCUCCCUGCACUUCAUUCCCCUCAGACUUCUCCAGACACAGCAAUAAUAAGUGAGCUCAAAGUCCUGAAGCCAGGAAUAAAUCAUGACACGGGUGACACUUGUAAUUGAGAGUUUCUUAAUUGCUGCGUUUGAUUAAAGAGAGCUGCCGGCUUUGUGCAUAAAAGGCAGAGAUCCAGAAACCCGGGGUAGGAAGAAAAGAGGAUGAGAAGAUGAUGGGAACAGAAAAAAGCCAGAUCAAGGAGGAGAAAGACUCGGGAGAAAUCUUGUUGGAGUACCAGAGAUAAGGGAGACAAAAAUAGAACGAGCGGCUUCACUUGUGACUACAUCCAUGUUUAUUUCUGCCCUCGUGGGGCAGGAAUACGGGGCUUUGUGCUCUCCUGGUGUGAAAUGCAGCAGCUGUUUAGCACCACAAAGCACCAAAGAUAAAGGCAGCAUAUCAAAAAGAACUAAAACGACGGGGAAAUUGCUUUUUUUUGUUGUUGGAAUAAGCGCCAGGGGAACAGGAAAACCUUUCAUCAGAACUUUGGUGGAUGCUCUGCCGGGAGGGCAAUGCUCCAAGAAGGCAGGAGCUGCAGCCUGCGGUGCCAGGAGCGGCUCCUGCCAAGGGCAGGACACAUCCCUGUGCAGCUCAGGCCCUUUCUGGAGGGGAAAUCCCUUCCCGGGUGCCAUCCCCUCCCACGGCCCUUUCCCAGGGGAGCAGGGUGGGCGAGGGGCCCAGAGAGGGGCCAGCAUGGGACGGGACGUGUGCACCCUUCUCAGGCCUUCCUCUCCUCCUGCCCAUCGCUCCCUCCACUUCCAGAGGAAUUGCCCAGAGCAGGAGCCUGGCUCUGUCCCGGCUGGAUGGCGUGGAUGGGAAUGGCAACGCUGCUUAAAGGCUGCAAGGGUGAGCCUGGCUCAGGUGAGCCUGGCUCAGGUAAGCCCUCCGUCCUGUACAGAGCUGGUGAGCCUGGCUCAGGUGAGCCCUCCGUCCUGUACAGAGCUCUUCCAGCUCAGAUGACCUUUUUUUGUCCUUGUGGGACCUCCUCAGCGCUGACCUCACUGCUCCCAGGUGGAAGCUGGAGGUUUGGUGACGCUGCAGGAAUAAAAACACUCCAUUUCCUCCUGCUUUCAUUGCUGUCCUGGCUGCCGUCUCCAGGCAGCUCUGGGCAAGUCUGCCCUGAAUGGAAAUAAUACCCCUGCUGUGGGCCAGUGGAAAGGGAGGAGGAGGAGGAGAGCUUUGCAGAGCUGGUGCCUGGGCUGGGGGCCAUGGUGGGGCAGGCCAGCUCUGACACUGGGCACUUCCACAAAUUAAUGCACAAACAGCUCCAGCUGCAGCCAAAACCCUCAGGAGACCCCGAGAGCUGCCUUGCACUGCCUGGUACAGGGGCUUUCAACACGCUGCCAGUGCACCUGGGUGGAAAUCUGACCCUGAGAAAUCUUUGCCUGGAGCUAAAACAGCCUCAAGAGGGUGGAAAUCUGACCCUGAGAAAUCUUUGCCUUGAGCUAAAACAGCCUCAAGGGUGCAAAACUUGGGGUGCUCUCCGAAGAGCUUUUUUUCCUUCCCGUUAAAAAUCCCUCAAAUACAGGGUAUGGUUUUAAUGAAAAACAGCUCCCCGACAAUAAUCUGCAGCACAGGCUCGUGAAAUUUCCAGACUCAUUAAUUUAGAGACUCAUCACCCAAAAAAACCGGGGGUUUGGUGAUUUCUAAUGAUUUCUAAUGGUUUCCUUUGUGAACAGGGAGUCUAAUUGAGCUGCUUUGUUCCUACAGCUCCCAACUGCUUCCGACUGAUGGGCUUUUUCCCCGGAUCACUUAUGUCUGUCCCUCCUUAAGCUUUGACAAAUGUGAGGGCUUCUGGCACAGACAAAUGGCUGGAGAGCAUCUUCAUUUCCUUGCUCUUGUCACAUCCUCAGCCCUCCUUUCUGUGGCAGCAGUGUCCCCAGGAGCUCCAGCGAGGCUGGGGGAGGACCCCCCCCCCCCCCCCCCCCCCCCCCCCCCCCCCCCCCCCCCCCCCCCCCCCCCCCCCCCUCCAUGACCCUGCUGGGAAGCAGCACCGUUCCCAGAAGCUGCCGGCCUUUCCACACCCAAAGGGCUGCAGGAAGGGGGGCACAGACGUUUGAGUGGCCAGAGGACAGGGGGGAAGGCUUUGAACUGAGAGGGGGAAGCUGCGGAGCAGAGAAGAGGAUUUUUUGCUGGGCACAGGCUGCCCGGAGAGGUGGCGGCUGCCCCUGGAGCCACCCGAGGAGAGGCUGGGCAGGGCUCUGAGCGGGCUGGUCCGGGGGAAGGGUGCCCGGCCUUUCCCAGGCGCCUGGUGCAGGAGCAGCGCCCGGCUCAGCAUCCCAGGGCAGCCCAAAGGCAGCUCGAGUGGCAGGAACACGGAUCCCCCCCCCCCCCCCCCCCCCCCCCCCCCCCCCCCCCCCCCCCCCCCCCCCCCCCCCCCCCCCCCCCCCCUCCCCUGGCAGGAACACGGAUCGCCGGAGCCAGGGGAACUCGAGCCCCCGGGAAGCGUCGGUGUCACUCGAUCCGGAGGGAGGACGCUGAGAGGAGACGGUGUCAGCCCUCCGGUUAUGCACAAGGUCAUUGCCGGGGGGGAUGGAGCUUCCAGGCGCUGCAGCAGAGCCGUGGCCCGAAAUUCCAGCGGGAGGGGGUCAGCCAGGAGGGGUCUCCUCGCACUGACCCCUUCUGGGGACGCUCUCUCGCGAGUGGGCAGCUCAGGGGCCCUGGAAGGAUCAAUCCCCAGCGAAGGUGUUGGCAAAAGUGCUUUUGGUAUCACCUCGGGAAAAGGCAGUGAAAGCUCACGGCAAGGGUCCCUGGGUGUUAUCCACAUGGUCCCUGCUCCAGGCUGGCCCACGGGCCACUCUCUGCUCUGGGGCAUUCCUGGAGGAAUUCCUGGCUUUGGGCUCUGUGCACCGCCCAUUAAAAUGGAGAGAAAACCAAAGAGAGUCAUUAGCAGCUGAGCAGAGGGUCAGAAAGCAGGUUAUUGACUUGCUUUAUCACAGCUCCGAAAUCCCCCUAAGAAUAGAGCACUUUAGAUUAACUGGGGGGGAAAAUGGAUCGGAAAGUUGCAAUUAAGCUGAUGUCAUAAUUUUGGGAGAAAAAAACAGGUGUUCUGCUACAGCUGUAGUUCUCUCCCUGACUUUAAUUGGUGUGCCAGUCCCAGUUGUCUGUAUUGAUAAAAUGCUGUCCAUUUAAAAAAUGUAUAAUUAGCAUUGGUUUAAUAGGUACAAACAUUUUAAAGGGACAAAAAAAAAUGAUUAAAACCCAGAAAAACUUCAACACUUUUUUUUUUUUUUUUCCUUCAACCUU